UACAGAGGAGCCAAGCGUUGUCCGGAUUGACUGGGCGUAAAGCGCACGCAGGCGGACGCGCGCGUGGGGUGUGAAAUCUGGCCGCUUAACGGCCAGGCGCCAUCCCAUACGGCGCGUCUGGAGUGAUGCAGAGGUCGGUGGAAUUGCCGGUGUAGUGGUGAAAUGCGUAGAGAUCGGCAGGAACACCCAGGGGGAAACCAGCCGACUGGGCAUCUACUGACGCUGAGGUGCGAGAGCGUGGGGAGCGAGCCGG
This 253-nucleotide ribosomal RNA is filed under the name uncultured bacterium. RNAcentral describes it as "partial 16S ribosomal RNA". It matches the Rfam family "Bacterial small subunit ribosomal RNA", at positions 524 to 776 of the family's 1533-position model. The record is from RNAcentral.